This 224-nucleotide long non-coding RNA is filed under the name Vitis vinifera (wine grape). RNAcentral describes it as "long non-coding RNA (VVIN_LNC002149)". Lineage: Eukaryota; Viridiplantae; Streptophyta; Magnoliopsida; Vitales; Vitaceae. The record is from RNAcentral.
AAAUAAUAAAGAUCAGGUAAAUAAUUGCGAAAGAUGGAAUUUUUAGAGAUUGGAGAUUAAACUUAGAGAUUGAAAAUUUAAGAAAUUAUUUAGAGAUGAGAUCUUUAAUAUAUGAAUAACUGAAUAAAUAAAUGGAUGGAAUAACGUUAAUAAUGAGAAUAAUCAUUAAACAACGGGAUAUGAAUGGUGGAGUUUUUGAGAUUGGAAAUUAAAUUUGGAAGUCG